Molecule: ribosomal RNA, 497 nt
Filed under: uncultured bacterium
Lineage: Bacteria
Description: partial 16S ribosomal RNA
Rfam family: Bacterial small subunit ribosomal RNA
Source: RNAcentral
GAUGAACGCUGGCGGCGUGCCUAAUACAUGCAAGUCGAGCGAACAGACGAGGAGCUUGCUCCUCUGACGUUAGCGGCGGACGGGUGAGUAACACGUGGAUAACCUACCUAUAAGACUGGGAUAACUUCGGGAAACCGGAGCUAAUACCGGAUAAUAUAUUGAACCGCAUGGUUCAUUAGUGAAAGACGGCUUUGCUGUCACUUAUAGAUGGAUCCGCGCCGCAUUAGCUAGUUGGUAAGGUAACGGCUUACCAAGGCAACGAUGCGUAGCCGACCUGAGAGGGUGGUCGGCCACACUGGAACUGAGACAGAGUCCAGACUCCUACGGGAGGCAGCAGUAGGGAAUCUUCCGCAAUGGGCGAAAGCCUGACGGAGCAACGCCGCGUGAGUGAUGAAGGUCUUCGGAUCGUAAAACUCUGUUAUUAGGGAAGAACAAAUGUGUAAGUAACUAUGCACGUCUUGACGGUACCUAAUCAGAAAGCCACGGCUAACUACGUG